AAGCCCCUGUGUCACGUCCCCUAUAGACUCCAUGCAGUAUCUCCUAUACUCCUCACGGCACACCCCCUACGACCCCAUAGUUUCUCCCCUAUAUACCCUCCCAUGCCCCGUGCCCCCUGCUGACCCUAUAGCCCCUAUGGGUGCAGGGGGGACCAGGACCCUGCGGGGCUGCAGGCAGCACUGGUGGAACUGCGGGAGCACAACUGGGAGCUGCGGCAACGCCUGCAACAAAGGCACGAGGAGGCACAGGAGCUGCAGCGGGCGCUGAUGGCUGCAAAAGCACGGACCAGGGCAGCAGCAGAGGCAAGGGCACAGCUGGAAAGGGAGCAGAGGGGGCUGCAGGGGAGGCUGCAGCACCCUUGGGUGCCCCCACACCCGACUGAAGCCACCCUGCGUGCCCGCUGCCUUCACCUGCAGGAGAUGCUGCAGCAAGAGGCAGGGGCGAGGGCAGCUCUGGGUCGGGCAGCGCGGGCGGCAGGACGGCAGCUGAGGGGGCUGCAGGCAGAGCUGGAGGAGCAGCGGCUGCGGGGGGAGCGAUACCGGCUGCAGGCAGAGGCCACCGAGGCAGCACAUCGUGCCCUACAGGACCAGCUGGCCGUGGUGACAUCGGGGACAUCCCGUGCCCACGCUCAGGGUCAGAUCCUUCGCCGGGCUCUGGAGGACAUCGGGGAUGGCACCGCAGCCACUGCCUGUCAUGUGGCUGCACUGCGGGUCCGCCUCAGGUGUGACCCCAUGACACUGAGCCGCACCGUGCGCAGGAUGCUGAGGGGGGAGGAUGGGGG
This 782-nucleotide long non-coding RNA is filed under the name Chrysolophus pictus (golden pheasant). RNAcentral describes it as "lncRNA (ENSCPIG00010010724.1)". Lineage: Eukaryota; Metazoa; Chordata; Aves; Galliformes; Phasianidae. The record is from RNAcentral.